RNAcentral lists this transfer RNA (71 nucleotides) under Camelus bactrianus (Bactrian camel). It matches the Rfam family "tRNA". From Rfam's summary of the family: Transfer RNA (tRNA) molecules are approximately 80 nucleotides in length. Their secondary structure includes four short double-helical elements and three loops (D, anti-codon, and T loops). The record is from Rfam by way of RNAcentral. Lineage: Eukaryota; Metazoa; Chordata; Mammalia; Artiodactyla; Camelidae. RNAcentral also lists the same sequence under 2 other names.
GAGGGUAUAGCUUAAUGGUAGUGCGUGUGCUUAGCAUGUACAAGAUCCUGGAUCGAUCCCUAGUACUUCCA